RNAcentral lists this ribosomal RNA (720 nucleotides) under uncultured archaeon. Its description in RNAcentral is "bacterial SSU rRNA". It matches the Rfam family "Archaeal small subunit ribosomal RNA", at positions 143 to 859 of the family's 1478-position model. The record is from RNAcentral.
GGGNUAAUACCGAACCAUUUAGGAUUUCCUGGGAUUGUUAUUCCAAUGAAAGUUCAUGCCCCUAAGGAUGGAUCUCCAGCUAAUUAGGUAGUUGGUGGGGUAAUGCCCCACCAAGCAUUUGAUUUAUACGUACUGUGAGAGCAAGAGCCCGCAGAUAGAACAUUAGACAAAGUUCCAUGCCCUACGGGGCGCAGCAGGCGGGAAACCUCACCUAUGCAUGAAAGUGCGACGGGGGAACCCCAAGUGCCAUUCUUAACGGGAUGGCUUUUUAUGAGUGUAAAAAACACUGAGAGUAAGAGCUGGGCAAGACCGGUGCCAGCCGCCGCGGUAACACCGGCAGCUCGAGUGGUGGCCAUUUUUAUUGGGCUUAAAGCGUUCGUAGCCGGCUUGAUAAGUCUCUGGUGAAAUCCCAUAGCUUAACCUGUGGGAAUUGUUAGAGAUACUAUCAGUCUUGAGACCGGGAGAGGUUAGGGGUACUCCCAGGGUAGGGGUGAAAUCCUAUAAUCCUUGGGAGGACCACCUGUGGCGAAGGCGCCUCACCUAGAACGGACCUGACGGUGAGUGACGAAAGCCAGGGGCGCGAACCGGAUUAGAUACCCGGGUAGUCCUGGCCGUAAACGAUGCGGACUUGGUGUAUGGAUGACUUCGAGUUGUUCCAGUGCCGAAGGGAAGCUGUGAAAUCCACCGCCUGGGAAGUACGGUCGCAAGACUGAAACUUAA